CAAGAUACGAGUCGUAUAUUCUCCAUGCCCGAUCCGGUUAGCCCAGAAUCAUCAUCAUUAUCAUCAUUGCCUCAAUGGAUCAAAACUGAGAAAACCAACCAAGAUAGACAGAGAGAGUAAUUAAUUAAUUAACAAAAACAGAAUGGCAUAGAUGUAGAAUUGGAAAGUUGAGGAAUAUAUGUAUGUUUGUAUGGCAUGCAUGUUCCAAUAAUUCCCAGGAAAUUAACAUGAAUUCAAGGGUUGUUGCUUCUGGAAAAAUCAUUGGCUAAACAAGAGAGGGGCAACCACCCUUGUCAAGAAAAUCCAAAACUCUCUGUUUUGCCUCUUUUUUUCUCUCUGGGCUAACCUUUUCUUUGCUUGGGAAAAUGAUCUUCCACCUUCAACUCUUGCCUUUUUUCUUGUUUUAUAUAUACAAAAAACUAGCUCUUGAAGUGGGUGAAUUAUUAUAAAUGAAACUUGUCACCAAAAAUGUCAAAAUGACAUAAUCAGAAUCGUCUAAAAUGAAUAUCGCCUAGUUAUAAUGUAUACUUAAAAUUUGGUGUCAACUUUAAAGGAUAUGGAUUUGGCCUAUAUAAUAUACAAAACACAAACUAUUGUAGGGAAUAAUUUAGAGGGGGUUAUGUGAUAUUUUUUGAGUAAAAUUGUUAAGUAAUUUCUAUUUUAUGGACUCACAUAUUUAUAUAUUUAAAUAUAGAUAUUUUUGUUAUUUAAAAAAGCUCAAUUUACAUAUAUUUAUAUAAAAUAAAGAUGUUAUUAUCAUUUUUCUUAUGUCUAAUGGAUACUUAUUUAAAAAUGUAAAAGGCCACUUUAAAAUCAUCAAAAUCGAUUAUAUUGUAUUGUAUGAUUAGUUUUAUCGUAUAGUUUAAAGUAAUGAUGAAAAAUCUUAUUUUGUAUAACAACCAAUUUGGUAUUUUUCUUCUCAUUUCAUCUUACUUAUUAUUUAAUAAUUAUUUUUUAUCCUUUUGAUAGAAGCUCUAUGUUGUUACCUGCUUAUUUUAUAUGUUUAUUAUUCAAAAUAUUGAUAUGUGAAAUUAUAUAACGACGAAAAAUGAUACAAUCUAUCUAAUUAAUGUAUUCAUUACAAUAUGUUCCUUCCAUUCAUUUUACUUGUCAUUUAUUCAUAAAAUAUAUUUUUAUUUUUACUUGUCACUUUUAACAUAUCAAAAGAAGAUAAUAAUUUUUUUCAUAUUUUACCUUCAACAUUAAAUACUUAUUUUACAAAUUAUCAUUUAAUAAAAAUAGUUUAAUAAUAUAUCUAUAUCAAUAAUUAUUUUAUUAAUAAAUAUGUCAAGUCAAAAUGUGACAAAUAAAAAUUGAACACUCUUUCUAAUAGUUUAUUGCGGUCUUGAAUGAAUUCUUUAGACGAUUACAACAAAAAUUUGUCGAUUGUAUCUGUAUUUGGAUCAAAUUUCAAGUAAAUGUCUGACUCAAGGAAACAUCAUGUGGGACAUGGGAACCAUAAAUAUUCUUGUGAUUCUUUUUAGGUAAAUAGUAACGCUGGAAGAUAAGAUUUAUGCAGUCCAUAGAAAAAGAAAAAGAAGAAAGUAUUCUGAAGCCAAAUGCUCUUGAAUGGGUAGGAAUAAGGGGAUAAAUUAUUUUUUCCCCUUAUCUUUUCACUAUAAUUCGAGUCUAACACUAAAUGGUCAAAAAAUUUAAUUAAAAAUUUAAAAAGUCAAUAAUAUUUCUUUUACUUAAAAUAAAUUGAUUUUUUUUAAUUAAAAGAAUAAAAUUAUUUAAAAAGAUAAAAUAACAUAAUGUGAAAUAUGUUAUUUUAUCAGAUCAAAUUCUGGCCAAUUUUUUUUUUAAUAAGAUAGGUGAGUACUCUUACAUAGGUCAAUCAAGUCAUUAUCAAUCAUUAAUAUUACUCAUAUUUGAUAAACAAUUCAUUAGAAAUUGGACCUUUGAUUCAAUAUUUUCAAGGUUCAAUAAGUAGAAAGUAAAAUGUCCAAAUAGUAUGUUCAAUGGCUCAAGAAGAGAUUUGCAUAGCUAUUUCUGAAUCAAAGUGAAAGGAAAUAUGUGAUCAAUUACAUCUUUGUCAUGUAAAAUCAGUAGUAAAAAAUUGAGCUUCAAUAAUUUUGAAGUUAUGAGAACAUUGUAAGAUAAUUCAAAAUCAACAAGUUAAAUAAAUAAAAAUUAUUGAUUUAUCAAUAAUAAGUUACUAGUUUAACAAUUUUGUUAAUGAUGGUAAAUUUAUAAACCAUCUUAGAAGUUAAUUUCAUACUUCUAUUUAUUUAUGACUUAUCUUAAACUUUUGAUUAUUUUACAAUGCAUCAAUCAUUUAGUAAUUAAAGAUGUUAGAUUAUGAUUUAGAGGCUCAGAUCUGCAAAGAAAAGAGAGACGACCACGCCAUGGCUGCAAAAUCACUGUAAUUUGCCAAGCCAAGAUACGGGUCGAAUAAUCUUUCUUCACGCCCAACACGGUUAGCCCAGAAAUCAAACAAAUCAUCAUCACUGCCUCUAUUGUUAUGGAUAUAAUCAACCAAAAUCACAAACAGGAAAACACAGGUAAAUUGGCUUUAAUUGGUCAUGGGGUAUCAUGUAUGUAUUUCCAAUUUCAACGAUUCAUUCAUUUCCAGGAAAUUUAAGUUUUUAGAGGCUCAGAUCUGCAAAGAGAUCGAGGAAAAGAGAGAGGCGACCACGCCAUGGCUGCGAAAUCACCGUGAUUUGCCAAGCCAAGAUACGGAUCAUAUAAUCUCUAUGCCCGAUCCGGUUAGCCCAGAUUCAUCAGCAUUAUCAUCACUGCCUCAAUGGAUCAAAACUGAGAAAAUAAACCAACAUUGAGAGAGUACAGAAACAGAAAGCCAGCCAGAAUAAUUGCUAUAUAUAUGUUGGAAUAUAGUAGUACGUACGUACGUAUGUAUGUAUGUUUUCCUGGUACAAAUGAUUCAAUAAUUUCCAGGAAAUUAACAUGAAUCCAAGGGUUGUUGCUUUUUUUGUGUGGAAAAAUCAUUGGUUAAACAAGAGAGGGGCAACCACCCUUGUAAAGAAAUUACCAAAACUCUCUGUUUAGCCUCAUUUU
Molecule: long non-coding RNA, 3018 nt
Filed under: Solanum tuberosum (potato)
Lineage: Eukaryota; Viridiplantae; Streptophyta; Magnoliopsida; Solanales; Solanaceae
Description: long non-coding RNA (STUB_LNC006920)
Source: RNAcentral